Molecule: long non-coding RNA, 595 nt
Organism: Lolium rigidum
Lineage: Eukaryota; Viridiplantae; Streptophyta; Magnoliopsida; Poales; Poaceae
Exons: 2
Source: RefSeq, a predicted model, not a curated record
UACCAUCGAGUUGGUAGGCCAUGUUAUGUACCCCAUGCUCAACUCCCAUUGCACCAUUCCUUCCUAAUAAAGCUAAAAGAUUUCUAGGGUGAUAUGCAAGCAACAUGCAUCAGAGAGAGAGAUGCACAAUCGCCGUGGAUAUCUUCUGGCUGUUAUUGAUUCACAGUCGGUGGAUCGGUCAAAAGAGGGUCAAGUGGAAAUCUUUAAAGGGUUGCUCAAUUAGGUCAAAACGGCUCGACAUGUGCCAUCAAUCUAUGAUUGCGCUUUCGAGGAACAGCGUCAACAGAAAGUUUUAAAGGGAGGCUCUCCUUUGCAUGCAUGCGUCAUUAGCAAGCACUUCGAUCCUUAGACUAGGAGAGUGGACACUUAAUACUAGAGAACCCGGUAAAUGCUUAUCUCUAUCCACUUGAAUCUCCUUCCUAUAUUCGUUUUCAUCUCUUUGUACUCUUAAAAAAUAUGAUUUUCUUGGAAAUAAGCAUGUAUGUUGUAACAUGCACAUUUGUAACACUUUGAACAAAAAAAUAUGUUCGUAUGUUCCCUGCAUGCAAAGCAAAUUUUGCAUGUCCGUGGCAGCUUAUUUGUAUUGCGCAGUGCA